GAUGAACGCUGGCGGCGUGCCUAAUACAUGCAAGUCGAGCGAACAGACGAGGAGCUUGCUCCUCUGACGUUAGCGGCGGACGGGUGAGUAACACGUGGAUAACCUACCUAUAAGACUGGGAUAACUUCGGGAAACCGGAGCUAAUACCGGAUAAUAUCUUGAACCGCAUGGUUCAAUAGUGAAAGACGGUUUUGCUGUCACUUAUAGAUUGAUCCGCGCCGCAUUGGCUAGUUGGUAAGGUAACGGCUUACCAAGGCAACGAUGCGUAGCCGACCUGUGAGGGGGAUCGGCCACACUGGAACUGAGACACGGUCCUGACUCCUACGGGAGGCAGCAGUAGGGAAUCGUCCGCAAUGGGCGAAAGCUUGACGGAGCAACGGCGCGUGAGUGAUGAAGGUCUUCGGAUCGGAAAACUCUGUUAGUAGGGAAGAACAAAUGUGUAAGGAACUAUGCACGUCGUGACGGUACCUAAUCAGAAAGCCACGGCUAACUACGUG
This 497-nucleotide ribosomal RNA is filed under the name uncultured bacterium. RNAcentral's name for it is "partial 16S ribosomal RNA". It matches the Rfam family "Bacterial small subunit ribosomal RNA", at positions 28 to 507 of the family's 1533-position model. The record is from RNAcentral.